UCGUGAUAUCUCAUCUCGCCGCCCGUCGCGAGGCGGACGGAGGGAUGGAUGAGGUUACCUGGAAAAAAUCGGGGCGAUCUAGGCGGGCGAACCUCGCCAACGAACGAUCGGACAUGGGAUAACGGAAGAGGGGCGUCGGGCUCGACUUCGUCGGUUCCUCGGGGCCGAGGCACGUACGGUGAAUAGGGACGGUCGGGGCCGCCCGUACCGGGUCGUGAGAGGUGAAAUUCUAGGAUCGACCCGAGACGAACCGCCGCGAAAGCAUUCGGCAAGGACGCUUUCAUUAAUCAAGAACGAAAUCGGGGGAUCGAAGACGAUCAGAUACCGUCGUAGUCCCGACCGUAAACGAUGCCGACCGAGGGCCCGGAGGAGUUACGUACGACCCCUCCGGGCCCUCCCGCGAGAAAUCAGGAGUAUUCGGGUUCCGGGGG
Molecule: ribosomal RNA, 431 nt
Filed under: uncultured eukaryote
Lineage: Eukaryota
Description: bacterial SSU rRNA
Rfam family: Eukaryotic small subunit ribosomal RNA
Source: RNAcentral